CCAGCGGCGGUGGAAAGUUGAAAUGAAUGAAUUGUGAAGAUGAAACGGGAAUUUGGUGUUGACGGAUCAUGUUUGGUUGUCAAGCAGGAAGGCUAAUAGUAACAGUAAUUUUUUGAUGGUGAUUUGGAUAAAGUGAAUGGAAAAUGAUUGUGAUAAUUGAUUGUGUGAUAUGUAUACAUGAUGAUUUGCUGAAACUGAUGAGAGUAGGAAUUUAGUUAAUUUGGGGAUCGUGGAAUUCAGAGAGGAGAUCAUGAGAUUUUUUAUUGACUUGAAGAAAACUGAAUUAGAGAACAAAGGUGGAGGCUUUUCGUAGAAAAAAUAUUUUGUUUGAGGGGAGAGGACGUUAAGAAUUUUAGAUCGUGGGGAAAAAGAUUAACA
Arabidopsis thaliana (thale cress) is the source of this 378-nucleotide long non-coding RNA. RefSeq annotates it as other RNA. Lineage: Eukaryota; Viridiplantae; Streptophyta; Magnoliopsida; Brassicales; Brassicaceae. The transcript has a single exon. The record is from RefSeq.